RNAcentral lists this transfer RNA (85 nucleotides) under Candidatus Levyibacteriota bacterium. RNAcentral describes it as "tRNA-Tyr". It matches the Rfam family "tRNA". Rfam says of the family: Transfer RNA (tRNA) molecules are approximately 80 nucleotides in length. Their secondary structure includes four short double-helical elements and three loops (D, anti-codon, and T loops). Further hydrogen bonds mediate the characteristic L-shaped molecular structure. tRNAs have two regions of fundamental functional importance: the anti-codon, which is responsible for specific mRNA codon recognition, and the 3' end, to which the tRNAs corresponding amino acid is attached (by aminoacyl-tRNA synthetases). tRNAs cope with the degeneracy of the genetic code in two manners: having more than one tRNA (with a specific anti-codon) for a particular amino acid; and 'wobble' base-pairing, i.e. permitting non-standard base-pairing at the 3rd anti-codon position. The record is from RNAcentral. Lineage: Bacteria; Candidatus Levyibacteriota.
GCCGAGAUGACGGAGCGGUCAAUCGUAACAGACUGUAAAUCUGUCGCCCGUUUGGGCUACAUAGGUUCGAAUCCUAUUCUCGGCA